UGUGGUUAUUUGUAAUAUCCUGUAUGUGUCUGGAGUACUUUGAUGCCUUGGAUUGGAAGCUAACUUAAAAGAUGAACUUUUGAGGGUGUGUUUUCUAUUGUGUGGGGCUUUUGUCGAAAUUAGGAUUCCGAAACACGUUUUUCUACGGUGGGUUCAUUCGACAGCGAUUUACUUUCUUAGAAGUUGCGAGACGGUAUGUUUUUGAUUGCAAUUAUUGGAAGAUGACAGAUCCAUCUUUAAAAUGAUACCAGGUUCGGAAAAAUUGAUACGUCGAAAAGGCAAGAAAAAUGCUGUGAAAGUUGUCAGUUUUAUAAUGGGACCCUAUGGGAAUCGGAAUUAGUGUAAUAUAACCUUUAAAAAGCACAUUUACUGCAAUGUCAAGGUCACAUGGAUUCGUCUGCAAGCGAGACAAGUAGAACAUGAAUUUUAAUUAAUGUUUUGAUGAUUUGGGUGCUAAAAUAGAUGAGAGGUGUCAAUAUUUUGGUCCAAAUGGAUGUUUUAGGUGGUUUUAGACGGUUCCGUAUGGGUGGGGGACCUGGUAUUGACAAGUAAGGGUAACAUUUCCAACAAAUCUUAAAUGUAAAUAUUAUUAUGUCCAUAGAUUGAAGUUUCAGGUGGAGAGUAAGAUGAAAAAUAUGCAAAAUUACAUGCAUGCAACCCAUUUAUGCCAUUUUUCUCUUUGUUUGUAGGCCUGACCGUUUGUCCUUGAGCCGUAGAUGGUCAACAAUCCGCUAGCUGUCUUGCUCUGACUGGUGCACUGGACAUGAUUUCAAUAGUCAGCCAGACCAUGAUUGAGCUUAAGGAUUGUGCUGCGGAUGCAGCCUGUGCAGUUCCGGGAGAAAGUCACUGUCUCGGGCAAUGCGGUCUGGUAUCAGGUCUGGAUGAUCCUUGCCUGACUGCGGGUUUGUGUACACCUCAAUCCGACUCUGUGUCCUGAACAGAGGCCGCAGUGGUGCAGCGCUUGUGGACGAUCCAUCAACAUCCUGAAAGGUCAACACUACACUAAGCUGGGAAAAUCGAUCCUGAUAGUCAUCCCCAGGUAGUGGAAUGAAUGUUCACUGAACUACAGAGGAAUCACACCCAAAUGACUUUCCUGCCACGACAUUAGUGUGGCCACUCGCGUAGGAAUUCCUUAGCAAACAUGCUCUUUUGCAUGGUGACUGUGGACAUUUUUGCAAAACUUAUGCUUUCAACACUGGAUUUUAAAGAGAAUACUUAAUAAAAUGUCGCUAACAGGACUUAUUUAUAUGCGAGAGACUAUCUGGAUGCGCAUUAAGUGUCACUUUGUGUCGUAAGCUGUUGAAGGAGCGAUUUGCGCCUUUUUAAGUGUUAAUUUUGGGUAGCCGGCUUGUAUCAGCUUGAAAGCUGAAAAUUAUGCCUCUCAUCAUAAUAGCAUUAAUUUUUGUAA
This is a long non-coding RNA of Dreissena polymorpha, 1408 nucleotides long. RefSeq lists it as uncharacterized. The record is from RefSeq and is a predicted model, not a curated record. The transcript is spliced from 3 exons. NCBI's taxonomy places the organism in Eukaryota, Metazoa, Mollusca, Bivalvia, Myida, Dreissenidae.